UCUAGCCUGCCCAAUGAGUAGUUGAAUGGCCGCAGUAUUUUGACUGUGCAAAGGUAGCAUAAUCAUUAGUUUCUUAAUUAGAAACUGGUAUGAAAGGUUGGACGAGAAAAUAACUGUCUCUUUAUAAAUUUUUUAGAAUUUUAUUUUUAAGUUAAAAAGCUUAAAUUUAUUUAAAAGACGAGAAGACCCUAUAGAGUUUUAUAUAAUUUUAAUUUAAUAAUAAAUAUAGAAUUAUUAAAAUUUUAUUUAGAGUUAUAUUUGAUUGGGGUGAUUAAAAAAUUUAAACAACUUUUUUUAUAUUUAAACAUUGAUUUAUGAAUUAUUGAGCCAUAAAAUAUUUAUGAUUAAAAGAUUAAAUUACCUUAGGGAUAACAGCGUAAUUUCUUUUUAGAGUUCAAAUCGAUAAAGAAGUUUGCGACCUCGAUGUUGGAUUAAAAUUUAAUUUAGGUGUAGAAGCUUAAAUAUUAGGUCUGUUCGACCUUUAAAAUUUUACAUGAUCUGAGUUUAAACCGGUGUAAGCCAGGUUGGUUUCUAUCUUUAAAUUAUUAAAAUAUUUUAGUACGAAAGGACCAAAUAUUAUUAUUAUAUAU
Molecule: ribosomal RNA, 590 nt
Filed under: Atheta bosnica
Lineage: Eukaryota; Metazoa; Arthropoda; Insecta; Coleoptera; Staphylinidae
Description: partial 16S ribosomal RNA
Rfam family: Bacterial large subunit ribosomal RNA
Source: RNAcentral